AUUGAACGCUGGCGGCAGGCCUAACACAUGCAAGUCGAGCGGAUGAAGUGAGCUUGCUCCUGGAUUCAGCGGCGGACGGGUGAUUAAUGCCUAGGAAUCUGCCUGGUAGUUGGGGAUAACGUCCGGAAACGGGCGCUAAUACCGCAUACGUCCUGAUGGAGAAAGUGGGGGAUCUUCGGACCUCACGCUCUCAGAUGAGCCUAGGUCGGAUUAGCUAGUUGGUGGGGUAAAGGCCUACCAAGGCGACGAUCCGUAACUGGUCUGAGAGGAUGAUCAGUCACACUGGAACUGAGACACGGUCCAGACUCCUACGGGAGGCAGCAGUGGGGAAUAUUGGACAAUGGGCGAAAGCCUGAUCCAGCCAUGCCGCGUGUGUGAAGAAGGUCUUCGGAUUGUAAAGCACUUUAAGUUGGGAGGAAGGGCAGUAAGUUAAUACCUUGCUGUUUUGACGUUACCAACAGAAUAAGCACCGGCUAACUUCGUG
RNAcentral lists this ribosomal RNA (484 nucleotides) under uncultured bacterium. RNAcentral's name for it is "partial 16S ribosomal RNA". It matches the Rfam family "Bacterial small subunit ribosomal RNA", at positions 30 to 507 of the family's 1533-position model. The record is from RNAcentral.